Molecule: ribosomal RNA, 604 nt
Filed under: uncultured bacterium
Lineage: Bacteria
Description: bacterial SSU rRNA
Rfam family: Bacterial small subunit ribosomal RNA (bases 1-521)
Source: RNAcentral
CCUACGGGAGGCAGCAGUGGGGAAUAUUGGGCAAUGGAGGGAACUCUGACCCAGCGACGCCGCGUGCGGGAUGAAGGCCUUCGGGUUGUAAACCGCUUUCAGUAGGGAAGAAGCGAAAGUGACGGUACCUACAGAAGAAGCACCGGCUAACUAUGUGCCAGCAGCCGCGGUAAUACAUAGGGUGCAAGCGUUGUCCGGAAUUAUUGGGCGUAAAGAGCUCGUAGGUGGUUCGUCACGUCGGAUGUGAAAAUCUGGGGCUCAACCCCAGACCUGCAUUCGAUACGGGCGAUCUAGAGUGUGGUAGGGGAGACUGGAAUUCCUGGUGUAGCGGUGGAAUGCGCAGAUAUCAGGAGGAACACCAAUGGCGAAGGCAGGUCUCUGGGCCAUUACUGACACUGAGGAGCGAAAGCGUGGGGAGCGAACAGGAUUAGAUACCCUGGUAGUCCACGCCGUAAACGGUGGGCACUAGUUGUGGGAACCUUCCACGGUUUCUGCGACGCAGCUACGCAUAGUAGCCCGCCGUCGGGAGGUACGAGUCGCGAGAUUAAACUACAAGAAGUAGACGGCGUGAGACGUGCCGACGGACGACGACGAGGGAGGUAGG